This 449-nucleotide ribosomal RNA is filed under the name uncultured bacterium. RNAcentral's name for it is "partial 16S ribosomal RNA". It matches the Rfam family "Bacterial small subunit ribosomal RNA", at positions 29 to 523 of the family's 1533-position model. The record is from RNAcentral.
AACGAACGCUGGCGGCAGGCCUAACACAUGCAAGUCGAACGCUGUAGCAAUACAGAAUGGCAGACGGGUGAGUAACGCGUGGGAACCUUCCCAAUGGUGCGGAAUAGCCCAGGGAAACUUGGGGUAAUACCGCAUAAGCCCUUAGGGGGAAAGAUUUAUCGCCAUUGGAUGGGCCCGCGUCGGAUUAGCUUGUUGGUGAGGUAAUGGCUCACCAAGGCAACGAUCCAUAGCUGGUUGGAGAGAAUGACCAGCCACACUGGGACUGAGACACGGCCCAGACUCCUACGGGAGGCAGCAGUGAGGAAUUUUGGACAAUGGGCGCAAGCCUGAUCCAGCCAUGCCGCGUGAGUGGCGAAGGCCUUAGGGUUGUAAAGCUCUUUUGCCGGGGACGAUAAUGACGGUACCUGAAGAAUAAGCACCGGCUAACUACGUGCCAGCCGCCGCGGUAA